RNAcentral lists this transfer RNA (60 nucleotides) under Butyricicoccus porcorum. It matches the Rfam family "tRNA", at positions 8 to 62 of the family's 71-position model. From Rfam's summary of the family: Transfer RNA (tRNA) molecules are approximately 80 nucleotides in length. Their secondary structure includes four short double-helical elements and three loops (D, anti-codon, and T loops). Further hydrogen bonds mediate the characteristic L-shaped molecular structure. tRNAs have two regions of fundamental functional importance: the anti-codon, which is responsible for specific mRNA codon recognition, and the 3' end, to which the tRNAs corresponding amino acid is attached (by aminoacyl-tRNA synthetases). tRNAs cope with the degeneracy of the genetic code in two manners: having more than one tRNA (with a specific anti-codon) for a particular amino acid; and 'wobble' base-pairing, i.e. permitting non-standard base-pairing at the 3rd anti-codon position. The record is from RNAcentral. Lineage: Bacteria; Bacillati; Bacillota; Clostridia; Eubacteriales; Butyricicoccaceae. RNAcentral also lists the same sequence under 1 other name.
CAUUAGCUCAGUAGGUAGAGCAUCUGCCUUUUAAGCAGAGGGUCCGGGGUUCGAACCCCC